Molecule: ribosomal RNA, 480 nt
Filed under: Nicotiana attenuata
Lineage: Eukaryota; Viridiplantae; Streptophyta; Magnoliopsida; Solanales; Solanaceae
Description: rRNA SSU_rRNA_eukarya
Rfam family: Eukaryotic small subunit ribosomal RNA
Source: RNAcentral
AUGUUGUUGCAGUUAAAAAGCUCGUAGUUGGACUUUGGGAUGGGUUGGCCGGUCCGCCUUAGGUGUGCACCGGUCGUCUCGUCCCUUCUGCCGGUGAUGCGCUCCUGGACUUAAUUGGCCGGGUCGUGCCUCCGGCGCUGUUACUUUGAAGAAAUUAGAGUGCUCAAAGCAAGCCUACGCUCUGUAUACAUUAGCAUGGGAUAACAUUAUAGGAUUUCGUUCCUAUUACAUUAGCCUUCGGGAUCGGAGUAAUGAUUAACAGGGAAAGUCGGAGGUGAAAUUCUUGGAUUUAUGAAAGACGUACAACUGCGAAAGCAUUUUCCAAGGAUGUUUUCAUUAAUCAAGAAAGAAAGUUUGGGGCUCGAAGACGAUCAGAUACCGUCCUAGUCUCAACCAUAAACGAUGUCGACUAGGGAUCGACGGAUGUUGCUUUUAGGACUCCGCCGACACCUUAUGUGAAAUCAAAGUUUUUGGGUUCCG